CAGGAACGAAAGUUUAUAAUAGAUAUAGAAGUGACAGUAAACAAGUUUUUCAAGAUUUACAAUGAACAAUGAUUUGGCUUCUUGCUCUAAAACAGAAACAAUCUGCAACACUAACUUGGUGACAAUCCCACCAAUUCAACGACAAUGGAAAUCUCUACCCUUCACUCCUUUGCGACUUCUAGAAUCAAAGGCAAACUACCAUCAUUGCAGGAAAGGAAAAGAAAAUAACAACAGUUCUUGCGGUUAAAGCAUCUGUCAAGUGAAGGUAUGCCACUUGAAUCCUUUUUCUUUUAAUAACCAUCCGUACACGGCGGCAGUAAUGCCAAGACAAAAAACUUGAUACUCUGUUCAUAGUCAUCUCAUUAUUGAAAAAGUAUAUGUAAAACUGGCCUGCAAGAUAAAAGCAUUUUCGAGUAACUGAAUGUACAGCAUAUGAUCGUUUGUGCUCUUAAUAUUCAAUUAUUGGGAGUACCGCUAGAUGAAAUAUAGUGGAAACUCCAGAUCUUAUAACUUUUAAUACAUUCUCAACUAAGAUUUUAAGACAUGAGAUUAUAUGCCAAUAGUUACAUUUAAGUCAUAAAAGGCAGUAAGAAUAAGUUUCAGGACAUAGUGAGGGCUGAAACUACUUAUUUGAAAACAGUGAAACAACUCACUAAAUUAACUAAUUUUAAGAGAUUAAGUUUUAAGAAUUAAUACUAUACAACUAAGAGCAGGCUACAAAAUAGUGAAUCAAGAAUAUUCAACUGUAUAAAAUAUUUUAACCAACACUUCCACCAACCACCCCGGUGAAGUGAAAUAUAUAAUAUGGUCAAUCAAGCAUAUUAAAAUUAAUAUGUUAAAACUAAUAAAAGUGCACUCGGAAGGCAACCAUAAAGCAAGAACAGUAAUGAUAAAAAGUAACACAUGGCAAGAACAAUGGACUGACCAGACCUUCUAAAAUCCCUGGAACUACAUGAUAUCAGAUCCCUGACAACGCACAUAAUACCUACAAAGUAGCUGAUGCGAAGAUAAGUCCAAUAUAGUUUUUUUUUCUAAACCCAAUACAGUUAGCGAGACCUCGAGACAGAUAAUUUACGGGUCGGUGAAAGAGGCUGGUGACAAAAUUGACAGCACAAUACCUAUAGAUAUGACAAAGACAUGAGAAAUGGUUGACCUGGCAAUGUUGUUCAGUGUUCAAACAAUCCCAAAAAUGAUAUUGAGAAAUCUAUCCUGGCCUAGAGACAGGAGCAUAGACUAACUUUACAGAAUUCUAAUUCAUGCACUAAACUUCUCCAAGAAAUAAUCAUGUAUUGCAAAUUGAGUAAUUAGCGGUGCUGCGUCAAGAACUAUAGAGAGUUCAUGUUUGCAUUAGCACAAAUAAUAAAAUCAAAAGGCAGGCACGACUGUGUUCACAAGAGAGAAAUGCCAACUUGUUCUUAUUCACUAAAUUCUUCUGCUGGAUUAUUCCUCUUCUUUCUCAGAUCUGCACACAUCUGUUCAGAGAAGCCAGAUAUUAGGAAAUCAAAUCAGAGUGACAAAGGAUGGAGCACCUAACAAGGUUUGUGAACUACCUCUUCAUGCCACGCCAUAAGAUGAUUACUUUCAGCCAGAUUGAUCCCCUGUUUCUAUGAAUAAAACAUAUUGCAUGUGACUGGAUCUUAUUGUUAUAGAUUAGCAAGCAUCUUUAGAUUCUAUCAUCAUAUAUAUCUUACUCCUAAAGUUACAGGGUAACCAUAAUCAUCUACUUGCAAUUUCCAAGACAUUCUUUAUAAAUGUUAUACUACAUGGCACAUGUCUAUGUCCAAAAGGGCAAUAAUAUGCAAUUCGACGAUCAUAUUCAUAUGGUACCAUAACUGCAUCCCACAAAAAGAAACCUAUAGGCCUAAGAAACAGAGUAAAUAUCGGUAAUACAUCAUUACCAUGAAAGAAUUUCUCUCCUAGAAAUUCAUAUCAAAGAAAGUGUGCACAGAAGCAACCCAUACAGGUCAACUCAAGAUAUUUAAAUGAACAUAUUCAAAGAUAUUCCACUACCUUAUUUAUGAAAUUUAGACAAUUUUUGCUGCCAAGGUUAGAGCAUUGCCUAGUCUGUUUCUGGCACAAAAACAAUCUUAACCCAGCCUGCAGCUGAAUAAAGUGAAAUAAGAUUUAAGAAUAAGAGCAAUAAUUAGGAUGUGUUGUACAAAGAAAUCUUAGCUACAGAAGGAGUUUUGUGAACACAUUAAGGUAGUUAAAUGAGUGAUAGAACGGUACCAGAUUGGACAUUCAAUCCAUAAAAAUAUAUUCAAUAAACUGGAAGAGAAAUGCAUCAUGUUUUAGGUGUAGCCAAGUACAGUUGCGAACUUGAUAUAGCUUUGUAAAGUUGAAGGUAAACAAUUUCACACAAUGUAAAGCAAGUCAAGUCAGAGGGGAAAGGAGGGCAGCAACAUGCAC
This 2409-nucleotide long non-coding RNA is filed under the name Triticum aestivum (bread wheat). RNAcentral's name for it is "long non-coding RNA (TAES_LNC012414)". Lineage: Eukaryota; Viridiplantae; Streptophyta; Magnoliopsida; Poales; Poaceae. The record is from RNAcentral.